AGCCCCAAGCCCCCAUACUACUUGCUAAAUAGCCCCAGGUAGGGCACUAGCAACAGCCAGCCUAGAUUCAUAGCUUGCCUUUGCCUGGGAACCAAGCUCAGCACAAGUAGCAGCCAUCUCAGACUGCUCUAUAGCCCAUGCAGGGUUGGCCCAGGCAAAACACAGGUGGGAGCUGCCCUUGGUCUGUACUGACUGGGAAACCCCAGCGCCUGUGCAUCCAGUGGACAGCUACAGACCAUGUCAGAGCACAACUACCCUGCCCCUGAACAGCUGACCCUUCAUGGGGGGGCAGAGGUUGGUGAACAGUGGUCACAGGCAGCCCUUACAUCUGACUAGCCUGGCUAAAUCCAUCCUGUUUACCUGCCAAUAGCAAUCAAGGCUCAAUUACAAGAGGAGGGUAUACUCAGCCAACAAAGAGGGCAUACCUGCUACAU
Long non-coding RNA from Phyllostomus discolor (pale spear-nosed bat), 434 nucleotides. RefSeq lists it as uncharacterized. The transcript has 3 exons. Lineage: Eukaryota; Metazoa; Chordata; Mammalia; Chiroptera; Phyllostomidae. The record is from RefSeq and is a predicted model, not a curated record.